This 245-nucleotide ribosomal RNA is filed under the name uncultured bacterium. RNAcentral describes it as "partial 16S ribosomal RNA". It matches the Rfam family "Bacterial small subunit ribosomal RNA", at positions 530 to 775 of the family's 1533-position model. The record is from RNAcentral.
GGGGGCGAGCGUUGUCCGGAUUUAUUGGGCGUAAAGGGCGUGUAGGCGGUCAUGUAAGUCUGGUGUUUAAGCCCGGGGCUCAACCCCGGUUCGCAUCGGAAACUGUGUGACUUGAGUGCAGAAGAGGAAAGUGGAAUUCCACGUGUAGCGGUGAAAUGCGUAGAGAUGUGGAGGAACACCAGUGGCGAAGGCGACUUUCUGGACUGUAACUGACGCUGAGGCGCGAAAGCGUGGGGAUCAAACAG